CUUCUCUUUUUUAUACUUUUUUGUCAUCAAUUACAAAGGUGUUACAAAACAUUUUUCUGUUGUAUUUGAGGAUAUUACCAGAAAACAAUGGAAAGAGUCAUUGAUUAGGAAGUGGUUUGGAUCAGGAACCUGGUGCACAUGAAGAAAACGCUAUUGCUAGAUGCCAUUUGUAUGUAUAUAUGCAUCACUGAAAUGGCUGUCCAUAUAGCAAUACACCACUGAAGCGUAUUUUUCAUUUCUACCUUCCCUCCCACACCUCACUGUCAACUCCUUUUUUAAAACCACAUAUAAUAUAUGCAAAAAACAGAAGAAAAUGACUUAGAGCAUGUCUAUGUAUAAUGGGAUAUUGCACCUGUAGCUGCCCUAGUGCAAAACUCCAGUGCAGAUAAGCUACACCACUGCAAAACAGGACUUCCAUAAUGUGGCAAAUGGCAAUUUCAAACCAUGUGUCUACAAGCCUUGUAUUAUAUUGAUCUAGUAUAUCUAAAAUGGGGCUUUGGCACCAGUAUAGCUAAAUCAGUGUAGUUUUAUUCUUACAACUGUUCUAAUUAUAGACAAACUUUAGAUAAACCCAGUGGUGCCCAACCUUUUUGCCCCACAGGCCAGAUGGGCAGUGCCUAGUCUAGUUUUGGGAUGGGUCUGGCUAGUAGGAUAGAAUGGUGUAUGGGGCAGAUAUGGUAGGGGCCCAAGCCAUUGGCUGUGUGGGAGCGUGGCAGGGAAUGACCCAACCUCAAUUCAGCUGUGUGGGGAGAGUGGCUGUGGCCUGGCCCUGAUCCAGAUAGCUAGAGGGACAAGGUCUGGCCUGCCCUAAUCCAGCUGCAUGGGAAUUGAGAAUUUGGCAGUGGUUGUGUGGUGGCAGUAUUGCUACUGCUCCCCACUGCCAAAUUUCCCUACUUGUAAGGAACCCCAUGCCCCAGAUGCCAUGGCUCUGUGGGCUGGAUGUGGUCCUCAGGCCUUGGAUCAGUCCUGUGAUGGCCAACAUUUACCACUGGCCAAAGCAGGCACAACAGCAUUGACUUCAGUGACUGCUGCUACUAGUUUUGGUGAAUUUGUAAUAGAGCCAAUAACUGUGUUCAAAAAUAGCACUAAAUUAAAUUAACUGUAAGUGGACAGUGAUAUUUAUAGCUCAGUCUAUGUUAUUAUUGCCUGAUUGUUCCCAGUUUCAGUUUGUUUACAGUUUUUCACAUAUUGACUCCUUACUCGAGUUCUUUUAACAUAGGUUUGAAAUGUGAAUAUGUUUUAUUUUUUCCCCAGUAAAUAUACAAUACACACUUCAACAGUACUAUUAACCAACUUUUUAUGCCAAUUAAACUUUGCUGCACUAACAAUACCAAUGAAACACAUUAAGAGGUCAUACUUUUUUGUGAAAAAACUGUAGCCAAUAAACAAAUUUAAAAAAACAAUUCUAAGUGCUGCCAAAAAAUCCCUUUUGUUUAAACACAUUAUUCACAAUAAAUGUAUUCCAUUUUUAAAAAUGAAAGAAUACUUCUUUUAAAAUAGUAAAUUAAACUGCAUUUUAAAAAAUAUGUAUUGUGGUUCAUUGGAAGUAUACUGUAUAGAAAAGAGAGAAAAAAAAGAGACAUCACCUGUAAGAAAAUGGAGACACUUUGCCAUACACACCGACUCCUUCUUAUGAAAUAUUGUAAGCAACUUAUUAAUGAACAAAAACAUAGAGAAGCAGAUGGACAAGUUAGUGAAUAUCAUGGUACUGCACAGCUUUAAUACUGACACACAUUUACUUUCCAGUGGAAGAGAUAAAACACAUACCUGAAAGUAACUGGAAUGGCUUUUAUAAACUUCUAAUGGUACCAAUAUUUAAACAGUAUUUAGUAAGUAAGGUGUUCCACCAAAGCUCAGCACAGCGGUCAAAUAAAUCAUCCAAAUAAAUAAUCUUUUUGUGAUAUAAAAACAUCAAAAAUCUUAUACCCUUUUUACCUCUGUUAAAUAUGUUCAUUUUAAACAAUGGUUUUAACUAUAUGCAUUAAACCAGCAGGAAAGUUACAAAGAUUUUUUUGGUUAAAUAUAUAAAUGGAUUCAUACUCUUGCUUUGAUUUCUUUUGGCUUGUAACCUGCUAAGUAACAAUGUUGGCCUUAAGUAAAGUCAUUUUUUUUUAAUAUUCGCUAGUGCUGAGUUAAAAAUGAUAACUGCAGUGUUUUAUCUUAUCAUGGAGCAAUU
Molecule: long non-coding RNA, 2176 nt
Organism: Gavialis gangeticus (Gharial)
Lineage: Eukaryota; Metazoa; Chordata; Crocodylia; Gavialidae
Exons: 2
Source: RefSeq, a predicted model, not a curated record